Molecule: long non-coding RNA, 614 nt
Organism: Nyctereutes procyonoides (raccoon dog)
Lineage: Eukaryota; Metazoa; Chordata; Mammalia; Carnivora; Canidae
Exons: 3
Source: RefSeq, a predicted model, not a curated record
CUGGAAGAUCUUCAUCGUCAAGAGCCUUCAAACAUCCUGUAGAAAAUCAAAAGAAGGUAUACAUCGGUGGCUUGAUAACUUCAUUUUGUGCGCUCUAAUUUUUCCUCCGUAUUCAAGACCAGCAAAGCAGUCUGAUGCUGCAACACACAACAUUCACGUGGUGCUUUAAACGCUUUGGAUGAGCUCCUUCCAAACCUCUCACUGAGUUGCCUUGGGCCAGCCUGCUGCCCCCAACUGGGUGCUGCAGAUCUGCCCUCACAGCUGCAAGCAUCCAAGGAAAAGAGGGAAAUGGAACCAAUCACCUGGCUGUUCCAGGAUGCCAUCAUCGGGUACCUAGCCUACCGGAAAAAUAGGCAGCGUUUUCCUUUUUCACACCAUCAGCAUUUGUCAUUUAACUGCUGUAUGACCUCAGGAAAAAUUUCUGAACCUCUCCAAGGCUCAAUUUUCUCAACUGGCAAAUGGAAAUAUGGUAGGUUGGUUGUAAGGGUUAAGUGAGGUCUUGUUGCUGGGAGGAAAACUGUCUUCCUCUAACUUGAGUACAGAUUAUCAGGAGAAAAGAUGAGAAGUUUAUUUACUUUCACAGGAGCCUGCAGAUCAAACGGCUCUCAGAACAG